CACCAGCGACGACUUUGAUCGUCUCGCCUCGUACUCGAACUUUGGAGUAAGGCUCGUCGACUUCUCGGGCCCGGGCGGUGACUUCGUGCUGCCGGGGGAUGCCCUGUGCACGUUGCCUCUGGUUAAUGCACCGCCACCGGGCACAAUCACCAGACCCUGCUGGGUCUUCGACAUGGUCAUCAGCCCGGGAAGCCUCGGUCCGAAUAACGGGAACUACUUUUUCGCGGCCGGCACCAGCAUGUCCGCGCCGGCUGUCGCUGGCGUCGCCGCGCUUGCGCUUGUUGCGAAGGGGCUGCACGGCGAUGAUCUGUUCGACCACCUGGUGAACACGGCAGAUGAUCUCGGCGCA
RNAcentral lists this unclassified non-coding RNA (349 nucleotides) under uncultured bacterium. RNAcentral's name for it is "contains 16S-23S intergenic spacer region". The record is from RNAcentral.